AGAAUCAACGCUGGCGGCGUGCCUAACACAUGCAAGUCGAACGAGAAAGUGGAGCAAUCCAUGAGUAAAGUGGCGCACGGGUGAGUAACACGUGACUAACCUACCCUUGAGUGGGGGAUAACCUAGGGAAACCUGGGCUAAUACCGCAUAAUACCUUCGGGUCAAAGGAGCAAUUCGCUUAAGGAGGGGGUCGCGGCCGAUUAGUUAGUUGGCGGGGUAAUGGCCCACCAAGACUGUGAUCGGUAUCCGGCCUGAGAGGGCGCACGGACACACUGGAACUGAAACACGGUCCAGACUCCUACGGGAGGCAGCAGUGGGGAAUUUUGCGCAAUGGGGGAAACCCUGACGCAGCAACGCCGCGUGGAGGAUGAAGUCCCUUGGGACGUAAACUCCUUUCGAUCGGGACGAUUAUGACGGUACCGGAAGAAGAACGCCCCGGCUAACUUCGCGCCAGCAGCCGC
This 461-nucleotide ribosomal RNA is filed under the name uncultured bacterium. Its description in RNAcentral is "SSU rRNA". It matches the Rfam family "Bacterial small subunit ribosomal RNA", at positions 26 to 518 of the family's 1533-position model. The record is from RNAcentral.